RNAcentral lists this ribosomal RNA (338 nucleotides) under uncultured Desulfocapsa sp. RNAcentral's name for it is "bacterial SSU rRNA". It matches the Rfam family "Bacterial small subunit ribosomal RNA", at positions 1045 to 1382 of the family's 1533-position model. Lineage: Bacteria; Pseudomonadati; Thermodesulfobacteriota; Desulfobulbia; Desulfobulbales; Desulfocapsaceae. The record is from RNAcentral.
AUGGCUGUCGUCAGCUCGUGUCGUGAGAUUGUUGGGUUAAGUCCCGCAACGAGCGCAACCCUUGUCUUUAGUUGCCAUCAUUCAGUUGGGCACUCUAAAGAGACUGCCGGUGUCAAACCGGAGGAAGGUGGGGAUGACGUCAAGUCCUCAUGGCCUUUAUGACCAGGGCUACACACGUACUACAAUGGCCGGUACAAAGGGCAGCCACUUAGCGAUAAGGAGCCAAUACCCGUAAAGCCGGUCUCAGUCCGGAUUGGAGUCUGCAACUCGACUCCAUGAAGUUGGAAUCGCUAGUAAUCGCAGAUCAGCACGCUGCGGUGAAUACGUUCCCGGGCCUU